Molecule: ribosomal RNA, 250 nt
Filed under: uncultured bacterium
Lineage: Bacteria
Description: partial 16S ribosomal RNA
Rfam family: Bacterial small subunit ribosomal RNA
Source: RNAcentral
UACGAGAGCCUCGAGCGUUAUCCGGAAUUAUUGGGCGUAAAGGUGCGUAGGUUGUUUUGUUAGUCUUUUGUCAAAGGCCCGGGCUUAACCUGGGAAUCGCGAAAGAAACGGCAAACUUGAAAGUGCGAGAGGUGUACGGAACUCAUGGUGUAGGGGUGAAAUCCGUUGAUAUCAUGGGGAACACCAAAUGCGAAGCAGUACACUGGCGCAUAUUUGACACUGAAGCACGAAAGCGUGGGUAGCGAAUGGG